GUUCUGCCGGAUUUUCGGUAGAAUUCUCCCGAGUCGAGAUUCUUAGACAGUCAGUCUUAGGAGUCUAGACCUAGGAUUAAUGAUCGAUUGUUUCAGCGUUUUGAUAAAUUAUUUUCCGUGAUUAGAUGAUCUGUCUGUUCGGCUCGCUCCAACCGAGGCACCGGAGCAGAGCUAGGAGGUCGCCCAAUCCUAUGAGUUAAAGUCAUUUAAUCUUUGCGCUGUUGCUAGU
RNAcentral lists this long non-coding RNA (229 nucleotides) under Ricinus communis (castor bean). RNAcentral describes it as "long non-coding RNA (RCOM_LNC001325)". Lineage: Eukaryota; Viridiplantae; Streptophyta; Magnoliopsida; Malpighiales; Euphorbiaceae. The record is from RNAcentral.